CCGUGCUAGACGGGGAGGUAGCGGUGCCCUGUAGCCCGCAAUCCGCUAUAGCGGGGUCAAAUUCCCGUUCAGAGGCAAUCACCUUGUGGGGCUUGCCCGGCUGAUGCAAGCGAUGAAGGCUGGGCCCUGUGCAACGAUAUCCCAUGAACCCCGCCAGGCCCGGGAGGGAGCAACGGUAAAUGGUCAAUAUCGUGUGCCGCAGGUCUACCUGGCCCAAGUAAGCUAACCGGUCACACCUGGAAGGUGAUGUCGAUGGCGGGUGCACGG
RNAcentral lists this signal recognition particle RNA (267 nucleotides) under Bacillota bacterium. Its description in RNAcentral is "Firmicutes bacterium (anaerobic digester metagenome) signal recognition particle sRNA large type". It matches the Rfam family "Bacterial large signal recognition particle RNA". Rfam says of the family: The signal recognition particle (SRP) is a universally conserved ribonucleoprotein involved in the co-translational targeting of proteins to membranes. Lineage: Bacteria; Bacillati; Bacillota. The record is from RNAcentral.